AGAGGCCUAUGAUGAUCUGAAGAUUUGCCUACAUUGUCCGAUUCUUGCUCAUGAUGGAGUAACCUAUAUUAUUUCUGAGGCCUCG
Small nucleolar RNA from Prunus persica (peach), 85 nucleotides. It matches the Rfam family "Small nucleolar RNA SNORD34". From Rfam's summary of the family: snoRNA U34 is found in intron 5 of the ribosomal protein L13a gene in humans. U34 is a member of the C/D class of snoRNA which contain C (UGAUGA) and D (CUGA) box motifs, and functions in directing site-specific 2'-O-methylation of 25S rRNAs. The record is from Rfam. Lineage: Eukaryota; Viridiplantae; Streptophyta; Magnoliopsida; Rosales; Rosaceae.